RNAcentral lists this long non-coding RNA (594 nucleotides) under Ananas comosus (pineapple). RNAcentral describes it as "long non-coding RNA (ACOM_LNC023070)". Lineage: Eukaryota; Viridiplantae; Streptophyta; Magnoliopsida; Poales; Bromeliaceae. The record is from RNAcentral.
ACCACUCAAAUAUUUUUAUAUUUUUUUAUUUUAAUAUUUUGUAAUUUAAAGUGUAUUAAAUCAGUGUUCUGUAAUUUUAUUUUUAUCUUUUUGUCAGCUUCUCUGUUAAUAUUUUGUUAAAUUAUAUACAAAAAAACUUCAGAUGUUCCACCUAAAUUUAUCGAAUAUUCACUUUAGUACCCUUUAGUUUUAACUUUAUUACUGAUUUAACGAAAAAAAUUUAUAAAAUUGAUAAUAAAAAAGAUAAAAAUAAAAUCUGAGGGCACUAAAUUAAUUUAUUAUUAUCAAGUCAUACAAAAGAGGUAAUAAUAUAAUUUUAUGCCACUUAAAUUUUAACAAACAAACAGCAAAAUUUGAAAAACUUCAUUCACACAGCUGUAAAUUCAAAAAAUGAAAGAAAAGUCAUUUUCAUCUGACUGCACCCAAAGUUUAUUUCAACCUAAAAUCUAGUUUCGACAAAACAAACAUGUUACUGAGGUUGUAAUCUUACAACAAUCUUAAUCCAAUGCUUAUUUCUUCUUCACUUGAUUUAUCAUUUUUUUAUUUACUAAAAACCAACCUAUGCUUAAUUAUUAAAUCUUUAAUCUUUUUAAA